AAAAAGUUUUAUUCUUGCUUUUUUAUUUAUUAUUUAUUUAACUUACAUGAAUUUUUUUUUUUCAGUAAUUUAUUUUAUUAUUUGUUAUUAAUAAUUAUUUAUUGAUUUAAUUUUCUUAGAAAAAUUUUGUGCCAGCAUUCGCGGUUAUACAUUUUAUGAAAUUAAGUAAUUUUGGUUUUUAUAUUAUUAUUUGAUUAUUAAUUUUUUUAUUAGGGUGAAAUUUAUAUAAUUUUUUUCUUCUUCUAUUUUUAUUUUAAAAUUUUUUUAAAAACUAGGAUUAGAUACCCUAUUAUUUAUUUCUUAUUUUUUCUUGAUUAAUAUUAGUUAUGUUCUUUAAAAAUCAAAGAAUUUGGCGGUUAAUAAAAUCUUUUUAGAGGAACAUGUAUUUUAAUUGAUAAUCCACGAUAUUUUAUACCAAAUUUUUAUUUGUAUAUCUCUAUUGGUAGAGUAUUUUAUUGAAAAAUUUUCUUUUUCUAUUUUGGUUUAAUUUUAGGUCAAGGUGCAGUUUUAUUUUGGUUUUUAUGUGUUACAUUAUUUUUAAUAAAAUAAACUUUCUUUUUGAAUAAUUUUUAGGAUUUAAUAGUAAAUUUAAUUAAUUAAUUUUCUUGAAUAAAGUUCUAAUUAAUGUACAUAUCGCCCGUCACUCCUUUAUAUAGGAUAAGUCGUAACAAAGUAGUUUUACUGGAAAGUGAGUCUAGAUUUU
This 703-nucleotide non-coding RNA is filed under the name Batracomorphus notatus. The record is from RNAcentral. Lineage: Eukaryota; Metazoa; Arthropoda; Insecta; Hemiptera; Cicadellidae.